AAGGUGCCGCAGCAAUGCGGUCUCAGCAAAGAGUCCCUCCCGACUGUUUACCAAAAACACAGCACUUUGCCAACUCGUAAGAGGAAGUAUAAGGUGUGACGCCUGCCCGGUGCUCGAAGGUUAAGAGGAUGCGUCAGUCGCAAGAUGAAGCGUUGAAUUGAAGCCCGAGUAAACGGCGGCCGUAACUAUAACGGUCCUAAGGUAGCGAAAUUCCUUGUCGGUUAAAUACCGACCUGCAUGAAUGGCGUAACGAGAUGGGAGCUGUCUCAACCAGAGAUUCAGUGAAAUUGUAGUGGAGGUGAAAAUUCCUCCUACCCGCGGCAAGACGGAAAGACCCCGUGGACCUUUACUACAACUUAGCACUGCUAAUGGGAAUAUCAUGCGCAGGAUAGGUGGGAGGCUUUGAAGUAAGGGCUUUGGCUCUUAUGGAGCCAUCCUUGAGAUACCACCCUUGAUGUUUCUGUUAGCUAACUGGCCUGUGUUAUCCACAGGCAGGACAAUGCUUGGUGGGUAG
Molecule: ribosomal RNA, 514 nt
Filed under: Helicobacter pylori
Lineage: Bacteria; Pseudomonadati; Campylobacterota; Epsilonproteobacteria; Campylobacterales; Helicobacteraceae
Description: partial 23S ribosomal RNA
Rfam family: Bacterial large subunit ribosomal RNA
Source: RNAcentral